RNAcentral lists this ribosomal RNA (119 nucleotides) under Hordeum vulgare subsp. vulgare (domesticated barley). Lineage: Eukaryota; Viridiplantae; Streptophyta; Magnoliopsida; Poales; Poaceae. The record is from RNAcentral.
GGAUGCGAUCAUACCAGCACUAAAGCACCGGAUCCCAUCAGAACUCCAAAGUUAAUCGUGCUUGGGCAAGAGUGGUACUAGGAUGGGUGACCUCCUGGGAAGUCCUCGUGUUGCAUUCC